GGUUGUGUGGUCUAGUGGUAUGAUUCUCGCUUAGGGUGCGAGAGGUCCCGAGUUUCAUUCUCGGCACAGCCC
RNAcentral lists this transfer RNA (72 nucleotides) under Macaca mulatta (Rhesus monkey). RNAcentral describes it as "tRNA-Pro (AGG) (tRNA-Pro-AGG-4-1)". It matches the Rfam family "tRNA". Rfam says of the family: Transfer RNA (tRNA) molecules are approximately 80 nucleotides in length. Their secondary structure includes four short double-helical elements and three loops (D, anti-codon, and T loops). Further hydrogen bonds mediate the characteristic L-shaped molecular structure. tRNAs have two regions of fundamental functional importance: the anti-codon, which is responsible for specific mRNA codon recognition, and the 3' end, to which the tRNAs corresponding amino acid is attached (by aminoacyl-tRNA synthetases). tRNAs cope with the degeneracy of the genetic code in two manners: having more than one tRNA (with a specific anti-codon) for a particular amino acid; and 'wobble' base-pairing, i.e. permitting non-standard base-pairing at the 3rd anti-codon position. Lineage: Eukaryota; Metazoa; Chordata; Mammalia; Primates; Cercopithecidae. The record is from RNAcentral.